UAGAAGCUGAGGGAGGCAGAAACCAUGGGUCCCAACGAUGUCCCAGGCCUAAUCCCAGAAACCUGAUAAAAGCAGAACUGCAUUCUGGAUGUUCUUCUAGGAAAGCCACUGACACCAGGUGGAGCUUUGCCCCUUGAGCCACUCGGGCAUAAUCAUAAGCACCCGUUCUGGUGGACAAGAAGGAGUUCAGACCAGGAACAAAUGAGCCCCUUAAAAGCCACUCUUGAAAAUGCAGUGACAUGUGUCACAGUGAAAUGUCCUGCUCUUGCGAAACAAAAUGGGAUCAGAAAAUACUCUGUAGGCAGAGCCUGAAUAAAAUUGGUAUUUCAUUUACCUCCA
This is a long non-coding RNA of Marmota flaviventris (yellow-bellied marmot), 339 nucleotides long. RefSeq lists it as uncharacterized. NCBI's taxonomy places the organism in Eukaryota, Metazoa, Chordata, Mammalia, Rodentia, Sciuridae. The record is from RefSeq and is a predicted model, not a curated record.